This 250-nucleotide ribosomal RNA is filed under the name uncultured prokaryote. Its description in RNAcentral is "partial 16S ribosomal RNA". It matches the Rfam family "Bacterial small subunit ribosomal RNA", at positions 524 to 773 of the family's 1533-position model. The record is from RNAcentral.
UACGUAGGGGGCAAGCGUUAUCCGGAUUUACUGGGUGUAAAGGGAGCGUAGACGGAAAAGCAAGUCUGAAGUGAAAUCCCCGGGCUCAACCCGGGAACUGCUUUGGAAACUGUUUUUCUUGAGUGUCGGGGAGGUAAGCGGAAUUCCUGGUGUAGUAGUGAAAUGCGUAGAUAUCAGGAAGAACACCGGAGGCGAAGGCGGCUUACUGGACGAUAACUGACGUUGAGGCGCGAAAGUCGGGGGAGCAAAC